RNAcentral lists this ribosomal RNA (440 nucleotides) under uncultured bacterium. RNAcentral describes it as "bacterial SSU rRNA". It matches the Rfam family "Bacterial small subunit ribosomal RNA", at positions 338 to 795 of the family's 1533-position model. The record is from RNAcentral.
CCUACGGGAGGCAGCAGUGGGGAAUAUUGGACAAUGGGCGCAAGCCUGAUCCAGCCAUGCCGCGUGAGUGAUGAAGGCCCUAGGGUUGUAAAGCUCUUUCACCGGAGAAGAUAAUGACGGUAUCCGGAGAAGAAGCCCCGGCUAACUUCGUGCCAGCAGCCGCGGUAAUACGAAGGGGGCUAGCGUUGUUCGGAAUUACUGGGCGUAAAGCGCACGUAGGCGGAUCGAUCAGUCAGGGGUGAAAUCCCAGGGCUCAACCCUGGAACUGCCUUUGAUACUGUCGAUCUGGAGUAUGGAAGAGGUGAGUGGAAUUCCGAGUGUAGAGGUGAAAUUCGUAGAUAUUCGGAGGAACACCAGUGGCGAAGGCGGCUCACUGGUCCAUUACUGACGCUGAGGUGCGAAAGCGUGGGGAGCAAACAGGAUUAGAUACCCUUGUAGUC